AGGGCACCACCAGGAGUGGAGCCUGCGGCUUAAUUUGACUCAACACGGGAAAACUUACCUGGUCCUGACACUAGAAGGAUUGACAGAUUGAUAGCUCUUUCUUGAUUUGGUGGAUGGUGGUGCAUGGCCGUUCUUAGUUGGUGGAGUGAUUUGUCUGGUUAAUUCCGAUAACGAACGAGACUCUAGCCUAUUAAAUAACACACAGAAUCAUGUCUUCUGUGGCGUUCCUUAAUGGGAUCAAGUGUGUUUAACACUUUGAAACAGAGCAAUAACAGGUCUGUGAUGCCCUUAGAUGUUCGGGGCCGCACGCGCGCUACAUUGAGAGACAAAAUGAGCUUUCUAGUCUUUAACGAGGCUAGUAAUCUUUGAAUGUUUUUCUUAAUGGGGAUAGGGGAUUGCAACUGUGCCCCUUGAACGAGGAAUUCCCAGUAAGUGCUAGUCAUUAGCUAGUACUGAUUACGUCCCUGCCCUUUGUACACACCGCCCGUCGCUACUACCGAUUGAAUGGUUUAGUGAGAU
This 519-nucleotide ribosomal RNA is filed under the name uncultured eukaryote. Its description in RNAcentral is "SSU rRNA". It matches the Rfam family "Eukaryotic small subunit ribosomal RNA", at positions 1161 to 1707 of the family's 1831-position model. The record is from RNAcentral.